UCCUUACACAUGCAAGUCGCCGGGCAGCGCGGGCCAACCUGGCGGCGGAGUGGCGAACGGGUGAGUAAUAUAUGGGAACAUACCCAGUAAUGGGGGAUAACUAUCCGAAAGGAUAGCUAAUACCGCAUACGCCCUAAGGGGGAAAGAGGGGGAUCGCAAGACCUCUUGUUAUUGGAGUGGCCGAUAUCUGAUUAGCUAGUUGGUAGGGUAAAAGCCUACCAAGGCUUCGAUCAGUAGCUGGUUUGAGAGAACGACCAGCCACACUGGAACUGAGACACGGUCCAGACUCCUACGGGAGGCAGCAGUGGGGAAUUUUGGACAAUGGGGGCAACCCUGAUCCAGCCUUUCCGCGUGAGUGAAGAAGGCCCUCGGGUUGUAAAGCC
RNAcentral lists this ribosomal RNA (383 nucleotides) under uncultured organism. RNAcentral describes it as "bacterial SSU rRNA". It matches the Rfam family "Bacterial small subunit ribosomal RNA", at positions 46 to 432 of the family's 1533-position model. The record is from RNAcentral.